Molecule: ribosomal RNA, 842 nt
Filed under: uncultured bacterium
Lineage: Bacteria
Description: bacterial SSU rRNA
Rfam family: Bacterial small subunit ribosomal RNA
Source: RNAcentral
CGGCGCACGGGUGCGUAACACGUGGAUAAUCUGCCCUUGAAUUCGGGAUAACCUUCCGAAAGGUUGGCUAAUACCGGGUAAGCUCACGGUGACUUCGGUCGCUGUGGGAAAAGUAGACCUCUGUUUACAAGUUUACGUUUGAGGAUGAGUCCGCGGCCCAUCAGCUAGUUGGCGGGGUAAUGGCCCACCAAGGCUACGACGGGUAGCUGGUCUGAGAGGACGAUCAGCCACACUGGAACUGAGACACGGUCCAGACUCCUACGGGAGGCAGCAGUGGGGAAUUUUCCACAAUGGGCGAAAGCCUGAUGGAGCAACGCCGCGUGUGUGAUGAAGGUCUUCGGAUCGUAAAGCACUUUCGACCGGGACGAAAAACCUCUGGCUAACAUCCAGGGGCCUGACGGUACCGGGAGAAGAAGCACCGGCUAACUCUGUGCCAGCAGCCGCGGUAAUACAGAGGGUGCAAGCGUUGUUCGGAAUUAUUGGGCGUAAAGCGCGUGUAGGCGGCUUGGCAAGUCAGAUGUGAAAGCCCAUGGCUUAACCAUGGAAGUGCGUCUGAAACUGCUGAGCUUGAGUGCCGGAGAGGAUGGCGGAAUUCCGCAAGUAGAGGUGAAAUUCGUAGAUAUGCGGAGGAACACCGGUGGCGAAGGCGGCCAUCUGGACGGCAACUGACGCUGAGACGCGAAAGCGUGGGGAGCAAACAGGAUUAGAUACCCUGGUAGUCCACGCUGUAAACGAUGAGAACUAGGUGUCGUGGGUGUUGACCCCCGCGGUGCCGUAGCUAACGCAUUAAGUUCUCCGCCUGGGAAGUACGGUCGCAAGAUUAAAACUCAAAGGAAUUGACG